Molecule: transfer RNA, 69 nt
Filed under: Fulvia fulva CBS 131901
Lineage: Eukaryota; Fungi; Ascomycota; Dothideomycetes; Mycosphaerellales; Mycosphaerellaceae
Description: tRNA-Leu (AAG) (tRNA-Leu-AAG-1-1)
Rfam family: tRNA
About the family: Transfer RNA (tRNA) molecules are approximately 80 nucleotides in length. Their secondary structure includes four short double-helical elements and three loops (D, anti-codon, and T loops). Further hydrogen bonds mediate the characteristic L-shaped molecular structure. tRNAs have two regions of fundamental functional importance: the anti-codon, which is responsible for specific mRNA codon recognition, and the 3' end, to which the tRNAs corresponding amino acid is attached (by aminoacyl-tRNA synthetases). tRNAs cope with the degeneracy of the genetic code in two manners: having more than one tRNA (with a specific anti-codon) for a particular amino acid; and 'wobble' base-pairing, i.e. permitting non-standard base-pairing at the 3rd anti-codon position.
Source: RNAcentral
GGGCCGAGCGGUUAAGGCGCUACGUUAAGGCCGUAGUCCGAAAGGGCAUGGGUUCGAAUCCCAUUCUCA